UGAACGCUAGCUACAGGCUUAACACAUGCAAGUCGAGGGGCAUCAUGGUGGUAGCUUGCUACCGCUGAUGGCGACCGGCGCACGGGUGAGUAACACGUAUCCAACCUGCCUUGAGCUCAGGGAUAGCCCUCUGAAGGGAGGAUUAAUACCUGAUGUGGUUGUUGGCUGACAUCAGCUUUCAAUUAAAGAUUUAUCGGCUCAUGAUGGGGAUGCGUCUGAUUAGCUUGUGGCGGGUAACGGCCCACCAAGGCGACGAUCAGUAGGGGUUCUGAGAGGAAGGUCCCCCACAUAGGAACUGAGACACGGUCCUAACUCCUACGGGAGGCAGCAGUGAGGAAUAUUGGUCAAUGGUCGAGAGACUGAACCAGCCAAGUAGCGUGAAGGAAUGACUGCCCUACGGGUUGUAAACUUCUUUUAUGCGGGAAUAAAGUGUGGCACGUGUGCCAUUUUGUAUGUACCGCAUGAAUAAGCAUCGGCUAAUUCCGUGCCAGCCGCCGC
RNAcentral lists this ribosomal RNA (498 nucleotides) under uncultured bacterium. RNAcentral describes it as "bacterial SSU rRNA". It matches the Rfam family "Bacterial small subunit ribosomal RNA", at positions 30 to 518 of the family's 1533-position model. The record is from RNAcentral.